UGUCCUAGUGGCGAACGGGUGAGUAUCGCGUUGGUGACCUGCCCCGAAGUUUGGGAUAACAGUUCGAAAGGACUGCUAAUACCGAAUGUGGUCAUCGGAUUUAGAAACCGAUGUCUAAAGGAUUUAUUCGCUUCGGGAGGGGCCUGUGUCCCAUCAGCUAGUUGGUAAGGUAACGGCUUACCAAGGCGACGACGGGUAGGGGACCUCAGAGGGUGGCCCCCCACAAUGGAACUGAAACACGGUCCAUACACCUACGGGUGGCAGCAGUAGGGAAUAUUGCACAAUGGGCGAAAGCCUGAUGCAGCAACGCCGCGUGUGCGAAGAAGGCCUUCGGGUCGUAAAGCACUUUUCUGGGAGAUGAGAAAGGACAGUAUCCCAGGAAUAAGUCUCGGCUAACUACGUGCCAGCAGCCGCGGUAAAACGUAGGAGGCGAGCGUUAUCCGGAUUCACUGGGCGUAAAGCGCGUGCAGGCGGUUUAGUAAGUUAGGCGUGAAAGCUCCCGGCUCAACUGGGAGAGGUCGUCUAAGACUGCUAGACUAGAGAGCGAUAGAGGAAAAUGGAAUUCCCGGUGUAGUGGUGAAAUGCGUAGAUAUCGGGAGGAACACCAGUGGCGAAGGCGAUUUUCUGGAUCGUUUCUGACGCUCAGACGCGAAAGCUAGGGUAGCAAACGGGAUUAGAGACCCCGGUAGUCCUAGCUGUAAACGAUGUGAACUUGGCGUUGGUGGGUUAAACUCCAUCAGUGCCGUAGCUAACGCGAUAAGUUCACCGCCUGGGGACUACGGCCGCAAGGUUAAAACUCAA
RNAcentral lists this ribosomal RNA (801 nucleotides) under uncultured bacterium. RNAcentral's name for it is "bacterial SSU rRNA". It matches the Rfam family "Bacterial small subunit ribosomal RNA", at positions 88 to 904 of the family's 1533-position model. The record is from RNAcentral.